This 305-nucleotide ribosomal RNA is filed under the name uncultured bacterium. RNAcentral describes it as "bacterial SSU rRNA". It matches the Rfam family "Bacterial small subunit ribosomal RNA", at positions 334 to 656 of the family's 1533-position model. The record is from RNAcentral.
CUGUCCUACGGGACGCAGCAGUGGGGGAUAUUGCGCAAUGGGGGAAACCCUGACGCAGCAACACCGCGUGAAUGUUAAGCCCUUCGGGGUGUAAAGUUCUGUCAAUAGGGACGAAUUUUGACUGUACCUAUAAAGGAAGCACCGGCUAACUCCGUGCCAGCAGCCGCGGUAAUACGGGGGGUGCAAGCGUUGUCCGGAAUCAUUGGGCGUAAAGCGUCCGUAGGCGGUAUGUCAAGUCUGAUGUUAAAGCCCGGGGCUCAACUCCGGUUCGGCAUUGGAUACUGGCAAACUAGAAUGUGGUAGAG